CAGCUGGAUGGGCAGUGGCGAGUUGGGGAGGCACAGCAUGACUCAAUAAGAUCUGUCUAUUUAAGCGUGUUCUGCUGGGUCUGCAGUGGGCAAAUCUAACCUGUCCUCUGCCUUGUGAAGGGACAAUUUCAUGCAUACUAGGAGAGCACACUCGGAGCAGCCUUCCUCCCACAGAAUGUCUGCUUGGACAACACAACAGUUAGGUUUGAGAUCUGGGACACGGUUGGACAGCAGUGGUAUCACAGCCUGGCCCCCAUGUACUCUUGGGGGGGCCCAGGCUGCCAUCAUGGUCUAUGACAUCACCAAUACAGAUACAUUUGCCAGAGCCAAGGACUGAGUGAAGGAGCUACCAAGCAGGCCAGCCCCAACAUGGUCCUUGCGCUCACGGGUAACAAGGCAGACCUGGCCAGCAAGAGACCCCUGGAAUUCCAGGAAGCACAAGCCUAUGCAGACGAUGACAGUUGGCUGUUCAUGGAGACAUCAGCAAAGGGUGCAAUGAAUGUGAAUGAAAUUUUCAUGGCAAUAGCUGAGAAACUUCCCAAGAACAAGCCCCAGAAUGCAGCUGGUGCUCCAGACAGAAACCAAGGUGUGGACCUCCAGGAGAACCACCCGGCCAGCCCCAACCGGUGUUGCAGCA
RNAcentral lists this long non-coding RNA (637 nucleotides) under Homo sapiens (human). Its description in RNAcentral is "non-protein coding lnc-ADGRV1-12:1". The record is from RNAcentral. Lineage: Eukaryota; Metazoa; Chordata; Mammalia; Primates; Hominidae.